UAAUAAGUGUUUUAUGGCACUUUUUAAAUCCAUAUCCACCUUGUGUGCAAUGUCAGUCGGUUUUCCUUUUUCGUCAAGAAAAAAAGGAUCGACCAAACAUCAACUUAUUCUAAUUGAACUUUUGUCUGAAAACUAUUAUGAAUAAACUAAUUCAAAAUA
RNAcentral lists this unclassified non-coding RNA (159 nucleotides) under soil metagenome. RNAcentral describes it as "partial internal transcribed spacer 1". The record is from RNAcentral.